This 1222-nucleotide long non-coding RNA is filed under the name Malus domestica (apple). RNAcentral describes it as "long non-coding RNA (MDOM_LNC009689)". Lineage: Eukaryota; Viridiplantae; Streptophyta; Magnoliopsida; Rosales; Rosaceae. The record is from RNAcentral.
GUAAAUGAGUCAUUGUCGUAGUUUAAUUUUCCAAUACAAAAAUCAAGAACUCUUGUAUAUGGCCCCCUUCACUCCAUAGCUCACAUGUUGCCCGCUUUAAUGGACGGGGCUUGUUGUGGAUGGGACAUAAUUAACUGGCAAUUAUCAAUCAUUUUCGACAGUUUUAACUAUAGCUUGCAUUAUUUUCUCAUCAAAUCUAAGGGUCGGUUCCAAGGAGAUGUUCUAAUUCUAAAGGACAAUCCAUGAUAAAUUUAUACAAUCAAAUCAAUCUUGAAAAAAAUCUUUCUCGAAUAGAUUAGGUUGAAUAAUUUCUUAUGGUGUCACAUCUUCUCUUUACAUUUUUUUAUUUACUUCCAAUAGUAUCUCUAAAGUCGUCUUAAGCUAAGAUAAGGGAGAAAGAACUCUCACAUCUCUCAUGAAAUCUACCUAAUUUUAGAAUGAAAAAUUAACUCAAUUCAUAGUGAUUUUGAAUCUUAAGCUUACUUUCAUUUGCUUUAAAAAGUUAAUAUAAAAGUAGGAACCAUUCGCUUUCCACAUCAAGCAUAUGUGAGAUUAGAUCAAAAACCAAUUUUAUUAAUCAGAAGUUCGUGAUCAAUUGGUACACAUUAAGACUAUAGAAACGAAGUUACAAACAACUAGUACAUAGUAUGAACAACACGAACAAUUGUAAACUGUUGAUUGAAGUGAAUUCACUAACGGUAGACCUACGAUGUCAAGAUGAUGCAAGCAAAAUCCUUUUGCAAAAUAGGCAAAUACAUUCACACUGAGUCAAAUCACUUUGCAAUCCAAAAACCACAAAGAGAUAAAGUUUAAAAGAAGUGAUGUAUCACCCCUCACUUUCCAAUGAAAACCACAGCCCACAUGAUCUUGCUUGGGAUAUUGAAACUUUGAGAGAUCACAAAUCCCCUCUUUCAAAAGAAGAUUUUCACUAUGCCGCAUUUUCCACGCGAUCAAAUAUUCUGCAUACAAAAUAAGUGUGGUUUUUAUGUGGUUUCAAUAAUUGACUGAUAUAUAUUAAGUUUUUGACAACAAAAUUAAGAAAAUUAAAUUUUUUAAAAACGUAUCAAUCAAUAAUUUGAGUAACAAAGAUGCCACACCCAUUUUAAACACAAAAGAUUUGAUCUCAUUUCCCACCCCUUCUAUUCCCAAUUCACUCCCGAGUCCCAACAAAGCCGAUCGAUUUCACUCCCUCUCAAUCAACCCCACACAUACAUACAAGUAG